RNAcentral lists this long non-coding RNA (2197 nucleotides) under Homo sapiens (human). RNAcentral's name for it is "HSALNT0379595". Lineage: Eukaryota; Metazoa; Chordata; Mammalia; Primates; Hominidae. The record is from RNAcentral.
GUUACCGACCCCGCGCCGCCCGCGGCCCGCGCGCCCCUUCCCGGACAGUUCCUCUCGGCGCCCCCGAGUCCUCCCCGCGCGCCGCUUCCCGGGUGGGCCCUUCCACCAGAACCCCCUGGUAGAUCCUCCCCUGGUGCCCUGGGGGUAGAGGGGAGAUCCUCCACAAGGGCCAUUUCCCUGGUGAUCCCUCCCUGUGCCCCACAGGUCUAAGGAGAGGAGAGUCCAGUGAGUGACCCAGACGCCCCAGCCAGGAAGAGCAUGAGGUGCGAAGGGGGCUUCCCAGAUGGAGAGAAACAGAUGGUCCCAGAGUGGCUUGGAGACAGGUGCAACAUCAGUGUUGGGGGAGGACAUGGAGCGGAGCGUUCAGGGCUAUCAGGAGGGAGCCCCGUGGCCACGGUGCAAGAUCUAGGCAGGCGGGACAGACAUGGUCAGGAUGCUGGGGACACAGCAUGGGGAAUCCAGCACACAGGACACCAUCCAGCAGGAAAGCAAAGCUGCAGCCUGAGAUCUCCUUCCACCAACUCCUGGCAUGGCCAGAAAGUUAGCCAGAAACACCAGAAAGUGCCAGGCAGCUAGGAAGCAUGGGGAGAGCCCCCUGAAGCUGCGUGUGUAGUGCCUGCUUCCGCUGCCAUCCCAGAAAUGGACGAGCUUCACCCUGAGAACCCAGCCACACCACUGGGACACAUCCUGACAGUGACAUGCACACUCUUCCCUGGCCCCAGCCUGGAGAGGAGCCUCCUGAAGACACCAGCCUUUGCUCCUUCUCCCAGUGGGAGUGGAGAGAACUGACUGCUGGAGUGGAGACAGUCAAGGCUGUCCUUCUGAGGGAGCACAGCACAGGGUCUGGUGUCCCAGGGAGGCAAUCUGAAAUUCAAGCCAGGCCUCCCCAGCGGAGAGGACACACCCCUCACCAUGCAGAGUGACGUUUAGUAAACUCUCAAAAGAGAGCACAGAGCCCCACUCCUCCAGCCGACCCAUACUCUGCCUCCCCACUCCAGACCAGUGAACAAGGUGGAUUGCCCUUAAGCCAGCUCAGAGGCAAAGUCCAAAGACCUCAGGUGAGUCAAACAAUAAAAACAAAGAAUUAAGAAGAAUCCAGCUGGGUGCGGUGGCUCACGCCUGUAAUCCCAGCACUUUGGGAGGCUGAGGCGGGAGGAUCACGAGCAGGAGGUCGAGACCAUCCUGGCUAACACGGUGAAACCCCGUCUCUACUAAAAAUAGAAAAAAUUAGCUGGGCGUGGUGGCGGGCGCCUGUAGUCCCAGCUACUCCGGAGGCUGAGGCAGAAGAAUGGCGUGAACCCAGGAAGCGGAGCUUGCAGUGAGCCGAGAUCAUGCCACUGCACUCCAGCCUGGGCGACAGAGCGAGACUCCGUCUCCAAAAAAAAAAAAAAAAAAAAAAUCCAUCCACUCCAUCCACUUAGUAGCAGAGCGAAUAGACAUUCAGGAAAGAGCUUUCACGUCAGAAAGCACUACAGAAGUAGUGGCAUAUCCCCGGAGGCUGAGGUGGGAGCAUUGCUGAGAGGUGGCACGUGACCACAUCCAUGUCAUUCAACAACAGAAAAACAAGUCAUCGAGGGUGUGAGGGGCCGGUGAGAAACCCAGUAUGGAAGAAAACACAACUGGGCUGAGCGUGGUGGCUCACGCCUGUAAUCCCAGCACUUUGGGAGGCCAAGGCAGGAGGAUCACCUGAGGUCAGGAGUUCGAGACCAGCCUGGUCAACAUAGUGAAACCUCAUCUCUACUAAAAAUACAAAAAAAUUAACUGGGUGUGGUAGCGCGUGCCUGUAGUCCCAGCUACUCCGGAGGCUGAGGCAGGAGAAUUGCAUGAACCCAGGAGCCGAGACCACACCACUGCACUCCAGCCUGGGGGCGGCACAGUGAGACUCCGUCUCAAAGAAACAAAAAUAAAAAAUAAAUAAAUAAAUAAAUAAAUAAAUAAGAAAACGCAACCAAAGAAACAGAAGAGGACUCCACAGGACUUCUUUCAGAGCUUCAUAGCAGCAUGAAUUCAACAAUCAGGAAUUCAAAUGCUUGACGACAAAACAGCAGGAUGGGAGGAAGAGUUAAGAGCCAAGCAAACCGGAAGCACCAAAAUCGCACCGUGGCUGGAUCAAGUCAUAAACAGCAAAGGGCAGAAUAUCAAGUUACUUGGAGAUGAAAGGCUUGAGAUAAUUUCAGAGCAAGACAAAGUGAUUAAC